RNAcentral lists this ribosomal RNA (253 nucleotides) under uncultured bacterium. RNAcentral's name for it is "partial 16S ribosomal RNA". It matches the Rfam family "Bacterial small subunit ribosomal RNA", at positions 524 to 776 of the family's 1533-position model. The record is from RNAcentral.
UACGGAGGGUGCAAGCGUUAAUCGGAAUUACUGGGCGUAAAGCGCACGUAGGUGGUUUGUUAAGCUAGAUGUGAAAGCCCCGGGCUCAACCUGGGAAUUGCAUUUAGAACUGGCAAGCUAGAGUAGGGUAGAGGGGUGUGGAAUUCCAGGUGGAGCGGUGAAAUGCGUAGAGAUCAGGAGGAACAUCAGUGGCGAAGGCAGCACCCUGGACUCAUACUGACGCUGAGGUGCGAAAGCGAGGGGAGCAAACAGG